GGCACUUACAGAAGCAAUAGGGUCUUCAAAAUGCAUCUAGAAUACAGGAGUAAGGAAUCGAUCGUGUAUAAUUUUGUCAUGAAAAAGAAGAAAUCAUAGCAGUAGAGAGUUACCAAUGAUGACAACAAUCCAACACCCCCCUGUCGAUGACAACAUCCAGACAUAUUCCGCAUGUUUCAUUCUCAAAAACAGAAUCAUCCUGAAAUAUUACAAAAAAAAUGCCAUCUCAUAAAAAUAAAAAUAAAAACUAGCCGUCCAGACGGACUGAAAGAUUUUGUACAAAUUUUUCCAAUUUGAGUAUUUCUUGAACUACAGAGUAUUUUUUGGUCGAUUAGGAGCAUCUCGUAGGAUAAAAUAGAUUUGAUCGUUCAACGAAUAUAAAGCGAGAGCGAGGAAAUCCAAUGCGCUGAUUCUAAAAUCAGAGACAUCACAAAACUUUGGCAUUUCAUAUUCGGAUAAAGAAUGAAAUCUGCCGAUGAAUGGCCAACUGAUCAAAAUACAAAAAUGAAUUUUCAUCUAUAUGAGAAGCCCAAACGGCCUGCACCAUGGCAUAAACAUCACCCGUUGGAAGCGUUCUUCCACAAAAUGCGAAAUAUAAUAAAAAAUCCUUUAUUCAUCAUUGGAUGCUGCAUUCCUACAGAAACCAUUGGCAUUACUUGUAAAUAAAAAGAAAACCUCUUCAUGUAUGUUCGUGUGUUUAAAGAAACGAAGAGAUGGGCAUGCAUGACGACUAUGAUUUAAUUGACAACCAAUCAGAGAAUCAAUUUUCCUCACAAGAAUUGCAGUGUUUAAGCCGUUAAGCUAAGUAACUGCUUCGAAAUGGUGACUUCUGUCCGUAUACAGCCAGGCCUAGGAAUCGAAAAGAUAAGGAAAUUACGAAAAAAUCAUCGACUCCAAAUGCCACGUCGUCUGGGCAGUCUUCUGUAGCAUCCUCGAGAUCCAUUACUUUAUCGAGACGUAUCCCUCCGCAGAAUAUAUCUGAAAGCAACGGAACGGCAUGUGAGGAAGGUAGAACUCGAACAAUUUUCGGCUAAGUCCCUCUUAACCCCAAGAACCAGUCCAUUAACCACGAUAACCUCUUCAGCGACACCAAUUCUGAGUAUUCGACAAGAGCAAUUAUAAUAAGAACGCGAACGGCGAUUUCUUGAGGAACACAGUCCGACACAAAAGACCAACCAGAAGCCCCCGGACGGAGAGAAGAUGAUGCAAAACUCAGCAGUCCGACACAAUCUGACAUAAACAAUACGGCCUAGGGUUUCGAUUUUCCCCGACGAGCAAAUGCGGCUGCGACCACUGUGGAAGGAAGAACGUGGAUGGCUGCGUACCCAAGCCGAACCAGGCAGCAGCGGCGAAGAAACGGCUACCCCGUCCUCCCCACGGCAGCUAAUGGCGGCCUCCCAAGAGCCUGCAUUGUUCUGACGCCGCCGACGCAAAAACUCGAGAAAAAAAAAAAAACCUGUUCAGGCCCCCGGCUCAGGACCGGUCCGCCCAAAUAA
This 1496-nucleotide long non-coding RNA is filed under the name Spirodela polyrhiza (greater duckweed). RNAcentral describes it as "long non-coding RNA (SPOL_LNC001683)". The record is from RNAcentral. Lineage: Eukaryota; Viridiplantae; Streptophyta; Magnoliopsida; Alismatales; Araceae.